GCCGCGUGUGUGAAGAAGGCCUUUUGGUUGUAAAGCACUUUAAGCGAGGAGGAGGCUACUGGUACUAAUACUACUGGAUAGUGGACGUUACUCGCAGAAUAAGCACCGGCUAACUCUGUGCCAGCAGCCGCGGUAAUACAGAGGGUGCGAGCGUUAAUCGGAUUUACUGGGCGUAAAGCGUGCGUAGGCGGCUGAUUAAGUCGGAUGUGAAAUCCCUGAGCUUAACUUAGGAAUUGCAUUCGAUACUGGUCAGCUAGAGUAUGGGAGAGGAUGGUAGAAUUCCAGGUGUAGCGGUGAAAUGCGUAGAGAUCUGGAGGAAUACCGAUGGCGAAGGCAGCCAUCUGGCCUAAUACUGACGCUGAGGUACGAAAGCAUGGGGAGCAAACAGGAUUAGAUACCCUGGUAGUCCAUGCCGUAAACGAUGUCUACUAGCCGUUGGGGCCUUUGAGGCUUUAGUGGCGCAGCUAACGCGAUAAGUAGACCGCCUGGGGAGUACGGUCGCAAGACUAAAACUCAAAUGAAUUGACGGGGGCCCGCACAAGCGGUGGAGCAUGUGGUUUAAUUCGAUGCAACGCGAAGAACCUUACCUGGUCUUGACAUAGUAAGAACUUUCCAGAGAUGGAUUGGUGCCUUCGGGAACUUACAUACAGGUGCUGCAUGGCUGUCGUCAGCUCGUGUCGUGAGAUGUUGGGUUAAGUCCCGCAACGAGCGCAACCCUUUUCCUUAUUUGCCAGCACUUCGGGUGGGAACUUUAAGGAUACUGCCAGUGACAAACUGGAGGAAGGCGGGGACGACGUCAAGUCAUCAUGGCCCUUACGACCAGGGCUACACACGUGCUACAAUGGUCGGUACAAAGGGUUGCUACCUAGCGAUAGGAUGCUAAUCUCAAAAAGCCGAUC
RNAcentral lists this ribosomal RNA (899 nucleotides) under gamma proteobacterium WD393. Its description in RNAcentral is "bacterial SSU rRNA". It matches the Rfam family "Bacterial small subunit ribosomal RNA", at positions 396 to 1287 of the family's 1533-position model. The record is from RNAcentral. Lineage: Bacteria; Pseudomonadati; Pseudomonadota; Gammaproteobacteria.